UGAACUGGCAGGCUCGAGUUCUGAAGAGGGUGGUAGAAUUUCCUGUGUAGCGGUGAAAUGCGUAGAUAUAGGAAGGAAUACCGGUGGCGAAGGCGGCCACCUGGUCAGAAACUGACGCUGAGGUACGAAAGCGUGGGGAGCAAACAGGAUUAGAUACCUUGGUAGUCCACGCCGUAAACGAUGUCAACUAGUUGUUCGUGUCAUAAACGAUGUGAGUAACGCAGCUAACGCACUAAGUUGACCGCCUGGGGAGUACGGCCGCAAGGUUAAAACUCAAAUGAAUUGACGGGGGCCCGCACAAGCGGUGGAGCAUGUGGUUUAAUUCGAUGCAACGCGAAGAACCUUACCAUCCCUUGACAUCCAGUGAAUUUUCUAGAGAUAGAUAAGUGCCUUCGGGAACACUGAGACAGGUGCUGCAUGGCUGUCGUCAGCUCGUGUUGUGAGAUGUUGGGUUAAGUCCCGCAACGAGCGCAACCCUUAUCCUUAGUUGCCAGCGCGUAAAGGCGGGAACUCUGGGGAGACUGCCGGUGAUAAACCGGAGGAAGGUGGGGACGACGUCAAGUCAUCAUGGCCCUUACGGGAUGGGCUACACACGUGCUACAAUGGCGCGUACAAUGGGAAGCUAGCUCGCGAGAGUAUGCGGAUCUCAAAAAGCGCGUCGUAGUCCGGAUUGGAGUCUGCAACUCGACUCCAUGAAGUCGGAAUCGCUAGUAAUCGUGGAUCAGAAUGCCACGGUGAAUACGUUCCCGGGCCUUGUACACACCGCCCGUCACACCAUGGGAGUGGGCUGCACCAGAAGUAGAUAGCUUAAC
The sequence is a ribosomal RNA, 812 nucleotides long. It matches the Rfam family "Bacterial small subunit ribosomal RNA", at positions 629 to 1439 of the family's 1533-position model.